Alnus glutinosa is the source of this 872-nucleotide long non-coding RNA. RefSeq lists it as uncharacterized. Lineage: Eukaryota; Viridiplantae; Streptophyta; Magnoliopsida; Fagales; Betulaceae. The transcript has 3 exons. The record is from RefSeq and is a predicted model, not a curated record.
UUUUUCUUUGUUCUGGGUUCUCUCUGAAUGGACUAGGUUUCAAGACAGCCAAAAUUGGAGCAGGCUUGGGCUGGAAAACCUUCCAUCUAGAACUGUGGGGUCGGCAGAUUCACUCUGUUUGUGCCCGAAAAAAUGUCAGUAAAUAGUGAUGCGUCAAUACCCCAUCCAUUAUGUUAUUGUGGAGUGCAUGCACGUUUAAGGUAUUCAUGGACUAGUGACAACCCCGGAAGAAAGUGAAAGAUGGGGAUUGUGAUUUUUUUAUGUGGGCUGAUAACCAAAUGACUUCUUAUGAGAAGAGAUUGGAAGAACACAUGAGAGACAUAGAGGAAGGGAGACGGGCCGAUAUUGAGAAAGUUGAGAAGAUGACAAUGGCCAAUAUUGACAAACUUGAGAAACUAAUUGAAACAAAACACAAAGAACAAUAUGAGAGACUUCGGUUGGAGUUGGGUCUUAAUAGAAAGAUGUUUUGGGUAGCAGUAGUCGUAAUCAUUUUGGGCAUUGUAAUUUAUUUCAGUGGUUAUAGCGGUUCUAAAGUUAGCUACUUGAUGUUAGAAUGAAAGGAUGAAAACAUUAUUAGGUUAAUGUCGGUCAUUGUCAGAUAUUUUACGUUCUUAUUAGUUGAACAAUAGAAAUUCUGAAUUUUAGUUAUGAUUAGUCAAACCCAUAUUGUUAAAUGGACAAAUUUGGUAUCUUUUAAGUGAAUUUGGUUGUCCACUUAUGCAAAGCCCAGGUUAAAGUGGACUCCAGAACUUCAUCAAAGAUUUGUUGAAGUUCUGGAGUAAAUCAACUUGGAGGGCCAGACAGUGAGUCUAGAAGCUGGUUCCCAAGGGAUCAAGAUUCUGCAAGAAAGGAAAGAUGCUGGUGCAUUUGGA